This 505-nucleotide ribosomal RNA is filed under the name uncultured bacterium. RNAcentral describes it as "partial 16S ribosomal RNA". It matches the Rfam family "Bacterial small subunit ribosomal RNA", at positions 28 to 507 of the family's 1533-position model. The record is from RNAcentral.
GACGAACGCUGGCGGCGUGCCUAAUACAUGCAAGUAGAACGCACAGUUUAUACCGUAGCUUGCUACACCAUAAACUGUGAGUUGCGAACGGGUGAGUAACGCGUAGGUAACCUGCCUGGUAGCGGGGGAUAACAAUUGGAAACGAUAGCUAAUACCGCAUAAUAUUGAUUAUUGCAUGAUAAUUGAUUGAAAGAUGCUAUUGCAUCACUACCAGAUGGACCUGCGUUGUAUUAGCUAGUAGGUGAGGUAACGGCUCACCUAGGCGACGAUACAUAGCCGACCUGAGAGGGUGAUCGGCCACACUGGGACUGAGACACGGCCCAGACUCCUACGGGAGGCAGCAGUAGGGAAUCUUCGGCAAUGGACGAAAGUCUGACCGAGCAACGCCGCGUGAGGGAAGAAGGGUUUCGGAUCGUAAAGCUCUGUUGUAAGAGAAGAACGGGUGUGAGAGUGGAAAGUUCACACUGUGACGGUAUCUUACCAGAAAGGGACGGCUAACUACGUG